This 275-nucleotide long non-coding RNA is filed under the name Nicotiana benthamiana. Its description in RNAcentral is "long non-coding RNA (NBEN_LNC020572)". Lineage: Eukaryota; Viridiplantae; Streptophyta; Magnoliopsida; Solanales; Solanaceae. The record is from RNAcentral.
GAGACUUGAGCUAUACUGCUGCGUCCGCAGACCAGAGAGUCUCCGUCCUUUCUACCCUAGUUAGCAGUACUUUUCCUUAUUAUUUCCGUUGUAUUAGACUUUUCAAACAUUAGAGCUGUAUUUGCGUUCUCAUAGACCUGUGUUGCUCAUGGGAUUCCGGGUUUUGGGAUGUCAUUUUUCAGAAGUGGCGUGCAUCAGUGUAUGUGUCAAGUGGCACCGUAUACAUUUCAUGUUCUUUUUAGCGUUAUUUAUCGUCUUAUUUCUGCACUGUUAAA